UACGAAGGGGGCGAGCGUUGUUCGGAAUUACUGGGCGUAAAGGGCGCGUAGGCGGCAAUUCAAGUCAGCUGUGAAAUCUCCGGGCUUAACUCGGAACGGUCAGCUGAUACUGCUUUGCUAGAGUGCAGAAGGGGCAAUCGGAAUUCUUGGUGUAGCGGUGAAAUGCGUAGAUAUCAAGAGGAACACCUGAGGUGAAGACGGGUUGCUGGGCUGACACUGACGCUGAGGCGCGAAAGCUAGGGGAGCAAACGGG
RNAcentral lists this ribosomal RNA (253 nucleotides) under uncultured bacterium. RNAcentral describes it as "partial 16S ribosomal RNA". It matches the Rfam family "Bacterial small subunit ribosomal RNA", at positions 524 to 776 of the family's 1533-position model. The record is from RNAcentral.